RNAcentral lists this ribosomal RNA (353 nucleotides) under uncultured eukaryote. RNAcentral's name for it is "partial 18S ribosomal RNA". It matches the Rfam family "Eukaryotic small subunit ribosomal RNA", at positions 592 to 976 of the family's 1831-position model. The record is from RNAcentral.
CGAUAGUGUAUGUUAACGCUAUUGCAGUUAAAAAGCUCGUAGUUGAAUUUCUGGGUGGCUGUCUUGACUAAGGUCUCGCACGGCUAACUCAUCCGCGCCGGAAGCCAGUACAGCAUUGCUUAUUGGUGGAUGCGUGUUUUACUUUGAAGAAAUUAGAGUGUUCCAGGCAGGCUUUGCUUGAAUACUUCAGCAUGGAAUAAUGGAAUAGGACAGGUCAAUUUUAUUGGUUAUUUGACUUGUAAUGAUUAACAGGGACAGUUGGGGUCGCUAGUAUUCGCUAGUCAGAGGUGAAAUUCUUGGAUUUGGCGAAGACUAACUAAUGCGAAGGCAUUCGACAAGGAUGUUUUCAUUAA